UGUUAAAGAUUAAGCCAUGCAUGUGUAAGUAUAAAGACCAAGUAGGAUGAAACUGCGGACGGCUCAUUACAACAGUUAUAGUUUCUUUGGUUAGUACAAAAAGGAUAACUCUGUUAAUUGUAGAGCUAAUACUUGAGACUUUCCACUCUCUUUCCAAGAUUGUGGCGACUAGAUUUCGAUCUAGUUAUCAAUUAUUCCAUUCUGAAUGCUGGAAUAAGGACAAUUGUAGAAUCCAUCGGAUUUUCCAAGUAACCAAUGAGAAUUUCUGACUUAUCAACCUGUAGGUAAGGUAGUGGCUUACCUUGGUGAUCACGAGUAACGAGAAAUAAGGGUUUGACAUCGGAGAGGGAGCCUUAAAAAUGGCUACCACUUCCAAGGAAGGCAGCAGGCGCGAAAAUUACCCACUUGGGACUCCCAGAGGUAGUGAAGACAAAUAACUAAAUUCUGUCCUUUGGAUAGGAUUUAAGGGAUGAGCUAGACGUUAAUACUCUAGUGAAAGCGAUUGGAGGGCAAGUCUGGUGCCAGCAGCCGCGGUAAUUCCAGCUCCAAUAGUGUAUAUUAAAGUUGUUGUGAUUAAAAAGCUCGUAGUUGAAUUUGACAUGGACUCUUGGAUCAUUCUCUUUUAUCCAAAAGAGAGCGAUUCCUUCCACAGUCCUCAACACCUUUCAUGUUGCUUCUCUCGAGAGGCUCAUGGAGAUAUUUACUUUGAAUAAAUAUGAGUGUUUAAAGCAAAGCAUUUGCUAAUUAAAUAUGAAGCAUGGGAUAAUCAUGAGGAGAUACAUUUCAUUUUCACACUUGUGAAACAUGAUUGUAUUUCUAGAUCAAGAUUAAGAGAAAGAGACGGGGUGAUUUAUACGGAAAUGGGAGAGGUGAAAAUCCAUGAUCAUUUUAGGAUAAACUGAAGCGAAAGCAUUUCACUUGAAUCUUUUCAUUAAUCAAGAACGAAAGUUAGGGGAUCGAAGACGAUUAGAUACCGUCGUAGUCCUAACUAUAAACGAUGUCAACGAAGGAUUGGAUUGAAUUAAAGCUAGCACUUGCUUCCGCUUGUACUAGCACUAUACUUCAGUUCAGGACUUGAGGGGAAACCUUUAGUUAAUGGACUUCAGGGGGAGUAUGCUCGCAAGGGUGAAACUUAAAGGAAUUGACGGAAGGGCACACCAGGAGUGGAGCCUGCGGCUUAAUUGACUCAACACGGGAAAACUUACCAAGACCGAACAGUAGAAGGAAUGACAGAUUAAGAGUUCUUUCAUGAUUUAUUGGGUAGUGGUGCAUGGCCGUUCUUAGUUGGUGGAGUGAUUUGUCAGGUUAAUUCCGGUAACGAACGAGACUGAAACCUAUUAAUUAGUUUUCUGCCUAUAAGACAGAAAUGUUCGCAAGAACAGGUGCGUAAGUACCACUUCUUAAAGGGACACAUUUCAAUUGUCCUAUUUUAAUUGUAGUUAUCUAAUUUCGGUUAGACCUCUUUUAACGUGGGAAAAAGAAAAAGGAAGCAUUCAGCAAUAACAGGUCUGUGAUGCCCUUAGACAUCUUGGGCCGCACGCGCGCUACAAUGGAGUUACUAGAGAGUAUUUUAUCAUUUACACCUUAUUUAUUAGGCUUUGUCUAAUAAUUAAGGAUAGUAAGUGGUGUACCGAGAUUGAAAUAGUUAAGGAAAACUCAAAAGAACGUACAUGACAGGGAUAAAUGAUUGGAAUUAUUUGUUUUGAACGAGGAAUUCCUUGUAAUAUCGAGUCAUUAACUCGAGAUGAAUACGUCCCUGCCCUUUGUACACACCGCCCGUCGCUCCUACCGAUUGAAUAAAGAGGUGAAAUUCUAGGAUUCUGUCUUAUAGAUAGAAAAAUGGAUUUAAAUCUCCUUAUUUAGAGG
Molecule: ribosomal RNA, 1866 nt
Filed under: uncultured Entamoeba
Lineage: Eukaryota; Evosea; Mastigamoebida; Endamoebidae
Description: partial 18S ribosomal RNA
Rfam family: Eukaryotic small subunit ribosomal RNA
Source: RNAcentral